RNAcentral lists this unclassified non-coding RNA (259 nucleotides) under uncultured fungus. Its description in RNAcentral is "partial contains small subunit ribosomal RNA, internal transcribed spacer 1, and 5.8S ribosomal RNA". The stretch from base 1 to 73 matches the Rfam family "Eukaryotic small subunit ribosomal RNA", at positions 1759 to 1831 of the family's 1831-position model. Lineage: Eukaryota; Fungi. The record is from RNAcentral.
UCAAACUUGGUCAUUUAGAGGAAGUAAAAGUUGUAACAAGGUUUCCGUAGGUGAACCUGCGGAAGGAUCAUUAACAAAUCCAAUAAUUGUGGAGGGGGGUUAUACCUCUUUUGCAAAUAUUAAACCGCCGGUCUUAUCCGAGAGGGUGAGAUUGGUAGGCUAACAUAAAUGCAUGUUUUGUAGACUGUGUGAAUUAUUAAAUUUAUUGACAACUUUUAACAAUGGAUCUCUAGGCUCUUGCAUCGAUGAAGAACGCAGC